AUUUUGAACAUGACAUUAUUUUAUCACUUACCCUGAGUUACAUGCCAAUGGUUAUCCCACUGAUCGUCCUAGAAUGCUACACUGUUUCAUGAAGUAGGGAUCGAAGAAUUUUCUAUUGCUCUAGUGCAACAUUAGAUGAUGUGGUGCAUUCUUGAGUUGGUGUGAAGCGGUGAGCUUCCAUCCUUAGGAAGGUCUUAUUAUUUUAUUGUCUAUUCUUUAUAGUCUUAGUACUUUUGGAUUCUUAUGCUCCUAGUUGGGGGCAUGUCCCAACUUAUUUGGUAUUUUCAGCUUUAAAGUUUUUCGUGGAC
Molecule: long non-coding RNA, 308 nt
Filed under: Capsicum annuum
Lineage: Eukaryota; Viridiplantae; Streptophyta; Magnoliopsida; Solanales; Solanaceae
Description: long non-coding RNA (CANN_LNC017104)
Source: RNAcentral